RNAcentral lists this ribosomal RNA (233 nucleotides) under uncultured bacterium. Its description in RNAcentral is "partial 16S ribosomal RNA". It matches the Rfam family "Bacterial small subunit ribosomal RNA", at positions 523 to 754 of the family's 1533-position model. The record is from RNAcentral.
AUACGGAGGGUGCGAGCGUUGUUCGGAAUUAUUGGGCGUAAAGCGCGUGUAGGCGGUUUGUUAAGUCUGAUGUGAAAGCCCCGGGCUCAACCUGGGAAGUGCAUUGGAUACUGGCAGACUUGAAUACGGGAGAGGGCAGUGGAAUUCCUGGUGUAGGAGUGAAAUCCGUAGAUAUUGGGAGGAACACCGGUGGCGGAGGCGGCUGCCUGGACCGAUACUGACGCUGAGACGAC